AAUUAAUGCAUAGUUUUAGUUAAUUAUUGAAAUAUAAAAUAAAAAAAUAUCCAUAUAAAAAUCAGGCCGGUUCUCCAGCUCACUAGUUAAACUAUCAAUCUGAACAGGUCAAAACAGAUUUUAAGCCAAUCUGAUUUUGGCUUUGUUUGGGAUUGCGGAGAGAUUGCAUUACGUGCGGUGAGAAAGUACGUUGGAAAAAUACUCUAUUUGUUUCUGUACGUAAUAUUGCGUUCCGCAUUGCGUUCCGCAUAUCGCGAUGAGUCGUAACUGCGGUCCUACCGAAGAACGCAGAAGCAUAUCCCUAUAUACUUUUUCCUCAACUCCAUUUUAUCUAAUAGCGUUAGAUAGCUCUCAUAGCCAAAUAGUUUCUCAUUUUCGCAAGUGAAAAGCUGAAAAGGAGAAAAUUGAAGGAUAAUGACCGCAUCUCUUUUAGAAAAGGAAGAUGCUUUCGAUUUAUAAUGUAUAUAUAUUAUUCAUGUUAGCUUAUCAAUAAUAUAUAAAGAUAAUAUAUUGAAAGAUUCACUCUAGAUUUCUUUUUUGAGAAAAUGUAAUGCAUCUAUUUUUUUAGUCUCAGAAUUAAAGAACAUAUUGCUUACACACCCUGUAUCCGUACGAUGAACUAUAUAUUUUUCUCUUCUUCAUCUUAUCUCCAAUGUUAAUAUUAUCUCUCAAUAAAUUAUGUUAAACUUCAUAAAAAUUAAGAUUGUACUUUCUACCAUAAUUUCGAUUUUUAUAUCCGGAUUGUAGACGGCGAUUUUUACUCAUUAUUCGUUCUCGUUCACGAUCUGCAAAAGAGCGGGACGUUUGGAAUCUAAUUUUCUUAUCCCGUAUAUUAUAUAUUUGUAUAUAACUUGAUGUAACAAUGUCAAAUCACGUCCAUCUAUUAAAAACAUGUCUAGAUACAUUCUAACCGUUAGAUCUACCGUAUCUUUAUACAUCGACUUAAAUAGACCGACUAUAUCUUUAUAAAUCGUCUUGAAUAAAUCAUGUGGGACACAUCUAGGGGUGUAAUGUGGGCCUUGCCGGGCCGG
RNAcentral lists this long non-coding RNA (1031 nucleotides) under Ananas comosus (pineapple). Its description in RNAcentral is "long non-coding RNA (ACOM_LNC029037)". Lineage: Eukaryota; Viridiplantae; Streptophyta; Magnoliopsida; Poales; Bromeliaceae. The record is from RNAcentral.